UCCAGUAGCGACAGCGGUGAGGUCACACCCGUUCCCAUGCCGAACACGGAAGUUAAGCUCACCAGCGCCGAUGAUAGUUGGGGGCUCUCCCCCUGCGAAAGUAGGACGUUGCUGGGU
RNAcentral lists this ribosomal RNA (117 nucleotides) under Alkalicoccus luteus. The record is from RNAcentral. Lineage: Bacteria; Bacillati; Bacillota; Bacilli; Caryophanales; Bacillaceae.